UUUUUAAAGUCUGACCUGCCCACUGAAAUUAAUUAAAUGGCCGCAGUAUUCUAACUGUGCAAAGGUAGCAUAAUCAUUAGUCUUUUAAUUGAAGGCUGGUAUGAACGGUUGGACGAGGUAUAAGCUGUUUCAUUUAAAUUUAUAGUAGAAUUUUAUAUUUUAGUCAAAAAGCUAAAAUGUUAUUAAAAGACGAGAAGACCCUAUAAAUCUUUAUAUUUUAUUAAGUUUAAAUUUUUUGGUUUUAGUUUGUUUUUAUUUUAUAAAUUAUUUUGUUGGGGUGAUAUUAAAAUUUGAUGAACUUUUAAUUAUUUAAAAUCAUUAAUUUAUGAAUUAUUGAUCCAUUAGUAGUGAUUAUAAGAUUAAGUUACUUUAGGGAUAACAGCGUAAUUUUUUUGGAGAGUUCAUAUCGAUAAAAAAGUUUGCGACCUCGAUGUUGGAUUAAGAUAUAAUUUUAGGUGUAGCCGCUUAAAU
RNAcentral lists this ribosomal RNA (471 nucleotides) under Bactrocera xanthodes. RNAcentral describes it as "partial large subunit ribosomal RNA". It matches the Rfam family "Bacterial large subunit ribosomal RNA", at positions 1842 to 2568 of the family's 2925-position model. Lineage: Eukaryota; Metazoa; Arthropoda; Insecta; Diptera; Tephritidae. The record is from RNAcentral.